This 461-nucleotide ribosomal RNA is filed under the name Escherichia coli. RNAcentral's name for it is "bacterial SSU rRNA". It matches the Rfam family "Bacterial small subunit ribosomal RNA", at positions 30 to 479 of the family's 1533-position model. The record is from RNAcentral. Lineage: Bacteria; Pseudomonadati; Pseudomonadota; Gammaproteobacteria; Enterobacterales; Enterobacteriaceae.
AUUGAACGCUGGCGGCAGGCCUAACACAUGCAAGUCGAACGGUAACAGAAAGCAGCUUGCUGCUUUGCUGACGAGUGGCGGACGGGUGAGUAAUGUCUGGGAAACUGCCCGAUGGAGGGGGAUAACUACUGGAAACGGUAGCUAAUACCGCAUAACGUCGCAAGACCAAAGAGGGGGACCUUCGGGCCUCUUGCCAUCGGAUGUGCCCAGAUGGGAUUAGCUAGUAGGUGGGGUAACGGCUCACCUAGGCGACGAUCCCUAGCUGGUCUGAGAGGAUGACCAGCCACACUGGAACUGAGACACGGUCCAGACUCCUACGGGAGGCAGCAGUGGGGAAUAUUGCACAAUGGGCGCAAGCCUGAUGCAGCCAUGCCGCGUGUAUGAAGAAGGCCUUCGGGUUGUAAAGUACUUUCAGCGGGGAGGAAGGGAGUAAAGUUAAUACCUUUGCUCAUUGACGUACC